Molecule: ribosomal RNA, 524 nt
Filed under: Candidozyma auris
Lineage: Eukaryota; Fungi; Ascomycota; Pichiomycetes; Serinales; Metschnikowiaceae
Description: [Candida] auris partial large subunit ribosomal RNA
Rfam family: Eukaryotic large subunit ribosomal RNA
Source: RNAcentral
CAACAGGGAUUGCCUCAGUAACGGCGAGUGAAGCGGCAAGAGCUCAACUUUGGAAUCGCUCCGGCGAGUUGUAGUCUGGAGGUGGCCACCACGAGGUGUUCUAGCAGCAGGCAAGUCCUUUGGAACAAGGCGCCAGCGAGGGUGACAGCCCCGUACCUGCUUUUGCUAGUGCUUCCUGUGGCCCACCGACGAGUCGAGUUGUUUGGGAAUGCAGCUCUAAGUGGGUGGUAAAUUCCAUCUAAGGCUAAAUAUUGGCGAGAGACCGAUAGCGAACAAGUACAGUGAUGGAAAGAUGAAAAGCACUUUGAAAAGAGAGUGAAACAGUACGUGAAAUUGUUGAAAGGGAAGGGCUUGCACCCAGACACGGUUUCGGCCGGGCCAGCAUCAAGUAGAACGGGGUUAAAAGACCUGGGGAAUGUAGCUACCUCUUGGUAGUGUUAUAGCCCUUGGGUGAUGACCCCUGUUUUGCUUGAGGACAGCGGUCUCUAGGAUGCUGGCGCAAUGGUUGCAAGCCACCCGUCUUG